RNAcentral lists this ribosomal RNA (506 nucleotides) under uncultured bacterium. RNAcentral's name for it is "bacterial SSU rRNA". It matches the Rfam family "Bacterial small subunit ribosomal RNA", at positions 19 to 518 of the family's 1533-position model. The record is from RNAcentral.
CUGGCUCAGAUGAACGCUGGCGGCAGGCUUAACACAUGCAAGUCGAGCGGGGAUAGGGUGCUUGCACCUGAUCCUAGCGGCGGACGGGUGAGUAAUGCUUAGGAAUCUGCCUAUUAGUGGGGGACAACGUUCCGAAAGGGACGCUAAUACCGCAUACGUCCUACGGGAGAAAGCAGGGGAUCUUCGGACCUUGCGCUAAUAGAUGAGCCUAAGUCGGAUUAGCUAGUUGGUGGGGUAAAGGCCUACCAAGGCGACGAUCUGUAGCGGGUCUGAGAGGAUGAUCCGCCACACUGGGACUGAGACACGGCCCAGACUCCUACGGGAGGCAGCAGUGGGGAAUAUUGGACAAUGGGGGGAACCCUGAUCCAGCCAUGCCGCGUGUGUGAAAAGAAGGCCUUUUGGUUGUAAAGCACUUUAAGCGAGGAGGAGGCUUACCUGGUUAAUACCUGGGAUAAGUGGACGUUACUCGCAGAAUAAGCACCGGCUAACUCUGUGCCAGCAGCAGC